This 851-nucleotide ribosomal RNA is filed under the name uncultured Chroococcales cyanobacterium. Its description in RNAcentral is "bacterial SSU rRNA". It matches the Rfam family "Bacterial small subunit ribosomal RNA", at positions 55 to 951 of the family's 1533-position model. Lineage: Bacteria; Bacillati; Cyanobacteriota; Cyanophyceae; Chroococcales. The record is from RNAcentral.
AUGCAGUCGAACGGUGUCUUCGGACACAGUGGCGGACGGGUGAGUAACGCGUGAGAAUCUGCCUCUAGGUUGGGGACAACAGUUGGAAACGACUGCUAAUACCCGAUGUGCCGUAAGGUAAAAGAUUUAUUGCCUGGAGAGGAGCUCGCGUCUGAUUAGCUAGUUGGUGGGGUAAAAGCCCACCAAGGCAGCGAUCAGUAGCUGGUCUGAGAGGAUGAGCAGCCACACUGGGACUGAGACACGGCCCAGACUCCUACGGGAGGCAGCAGUGGGGAAUUUUCCGCAAUGGGCGAAAGCCUGACGGAGCAAUACCGCGUGAGGGAGGAAGGCCUUUGGGUUGUAAACCUCUUUUCUCAGGGAAGAAGAUCUGACGGUACCUGAGGAAUAAGCAUCGGCUAACUCCAUGCCAGCAGCCGCGGUAAUACGGAGGAUGCAAGCGUUAUCCGGAAUCAUUGGGCGUAAAGCGUCCGCAGGUGGUUUUUCAAGUCUGCUGUUAAAGACUGGAGCUCAACUCCGGAAAGGCAGUGGAAACUGGAAGACUAGAGUUCGGUAGGGGUAGCGGGAAUUCCCAGUGUAGCGGUGAAAUGCGUAGAUAUUGGGAAGAACAUCGGUGGCGAAGGCGCGCUACUGGACCGAAACUGACACUCAGGGACGAAAGCUAGGGGAGCGAAAGGGAUUAGAUACCCCUGUAGUCCUAGCUGUAAACGAUGGAAACUAGGUGUGGCUUGUAUCGACCCGAGCCGUGCCGUAGCUAACGCGUUAAGUUUCCCGCCUGGGGAGUACGCACGCAAGUGUGAAACUCAAAGGAAUUGACGGGGGCCCGCACAAGCGGUGGAGUAUGUGGUUUAAUU